Molecule: ribosomal RNA, 775 nt
Filed under: uncultured Neocallimastigales
Lineage: Eukaryota; Fungi; Neocallimastigomycota; Neocallimastigomycetes; Neocallimastigales
Description: partial large subunit ribosomal RNA
Rfam family: Eukaryotic large subunit ribosomal RNA
Source: RNAcentral
AGAGAGAGACAUGCGCGCAUAUCAAUAAGCGGAGGAAAAGAAACUAACUAAGGAUUCCCUCAGUAACGGCGAGUGAAGCGGGAAGAGCUCAAAUUUGAAAUCUUCAAGGUUUUACCUUGACGAAUUGUAGUUUAAAGAAGUGUUUUCUGUUGGAGUUUUGGUAAAAGUUCUUUGGAAUAGGACAUCAUAGAGGGUGAGAAUCCCGUAUUUGACCAUUAUUUUCAGCUGUGUGAUACACUUUCAAAGAGUCGGAUUGUUUGGGAAUGCAGUCCAAAAUGGGUGGUAAAUUUCAUCUAAAGCUAAAUAUUGGCGAGAGACCGAUAGCGAACAAGUACCGUGAGGGAAAGAUGAAAAGAACUUUGAAAAGAGAGUUAAACAGUACGUGAAAUUGUCAAAAGGGAAGCGUUUGACACCAGUGUUGUUUUCUCGAAAAUCAAUUAAAAAAGGCAGGAUUUUGUGUUGUAUUGACUUUAUCAGCUUUCUACACUCUUUUCUUGUCUUUUUUAAUGCACUUUUCGUUUAACAAGUCAACAUCAAUUUCUUUUGUUGUAAAAGGGUCAUUGGAAGGUGGCUUUCUUUUCGGAGAAAGUGUUUAUAGCCUUUGGCCUCUGCAAUCGGAGAGAUUGAGGUCUGCAGCGUAGAUCCUUCGGGGUUAGAUACAUUUGUGCUAAGUUAUAGCCUUUCAUAGACAACUUGUUGACUAUGAUCAGUCAUGUAGCUUACUCGCUUGUGCUAUUUUACCUACGCUUAGGAUGUUGAUGUGAUACUGCGAGCA